UCAAUGGGGAAUCCCAUUGAUUUGACAAUCACCCUGCAUAAGAGGUGGAAGGCAGAGAGCGCUGGAGCUGGACAGGGAGAUGAGAAGGCUGUCUGAGAGGCGGUGAGGAGCAGCCAUCGGUGGCCUGGUGGCAGUUUAUAGGCCCAGGGCCAUAUGUCCCAGAGUGACAUGCAGGGUUGCAAUUCUGCAAUGACAAAGAACAGCUGCGGUGACCACAGCGUGAACCACGACUGAUGACAAUCUGCAGGGAUUUUUGCAUCAACCCAGCAGUGUGGCUCGCAUAAUGGGACCUAGAGGGAAACUGAAGUUCUUCCGCCCAGACGCUGGACUGUGAAAACUCUAGGUCACAUGUAGGCUACUGGAGAUGAGGAGGCUUCUUUGCUGUGGCUGUUAUCAUCUUUAAGUUCCCAACUCAUGCUGACAGCUUGGGGAUUUUCAGUGACUCAACAAACAAAACGACAGACAGAGCUCCCUGAGUGGGUUCCACACCACCAGCCAUCAUCCUUCUCUCUGGAGGCGUCAGCCGACCCUGAGACACCUGCAAGAGCCUCCCAGUCCUCUCAGAAAUAUCUGUGAUAGUUAGGGAAAGAGACUAACAGAACAGAAAUUCUGCUCAGUGAGAGAGGGAGGUCCCAUGGAAGCUUCUAUAAGCCAGAAUCUUAAAACCAUUUCAUCUUUGGCUUCCUAAAACAACAAACAAAAACAAAACAAACAAAAAUAAACCUCCUAUUUGCUGGCUAAAGACUCACAUCCUUAGCAUAUAAAAAUAGAAAGCUUUUUCUUGAUGUUUGUUUUAGGAAAAAGUAUUCUUAAUUUCCCUGUAGACCCCAGGGAACGGGCUGCUUGAAGUGAGGCGCCUCCAGGGUGGGAGAAACUCCUAAGGGCUACAGGGAUUCCACAUGGAGCCAGGCAGGGUACCCAGCCGGCCAGGGCCAAGGAGUCAUCCCUGAAGACUCUCCCUUAUCCCCGGGAGAAUCUCAGACAUCAAAGGCAACUCACCUUAGGAGGGAAUCAGAUCCCUAACUGGGAUCAAAUACGGGAAGAGGUUCCAGUCCAGGUAGGUGAAACUUAUCAUCCUGGCCAUUAUCUGAUGCUGGCAAGAGGGAGCCCUGAGAAUCACCAGGGGGCAUUCCCCACGACGUUCUGGGAGCUUAAACCCCGCUGACUGCGCAGCUGGGCUUUCUGCAAGUCAUAGUCAUAACGAUGGAUGGACAGUGGCAGCCCCUCUCACCCCCACCCCCAUCGUGUCCUUUCUCUCUAACCAUAGAUCUGUACCAUCUUGAAGGAAGGAAACAGGACUUUGACAGUUCCCAAAACUCUGAUCUGGUGAGAUAAUUUCAUGAGUUUAUCAUGUUCAGGUGUGGUGGCUUGGAUGGCAUCAAAGCUGAGACGAAAGGUGUUAAUUUGAGUGACAGCGUUUACAUGCCCAUAUUGUCUCCAUAGCCUCGGCCGCCCUAGGCUUAUUUUCUCUAGAAACACAAGUUGGAAAAUACCCAGGCACGGUACAACAAACUCCAGCCAUCUUCUCUCUUCUUGGCUUUGAACUGUGCCCUUGGCAGACCUUACCCCCUUCCCCAGCGAUGGUCACAUCUCCUCUUCCAUCUUCUCUCCCUCAGUGGGAACUCGAGGGAAACAAACAGGGAGAACAUGAGGUCCAGCACCUUCUUAGGGGGUGCUCUCCAAAAGCCCAGGCUUACAGAGGCUCAUGGGAAGGCAGUGCUCAGGACGCCACUUAGAUUCCUUUACCCACUGUGGGAGGCGUUCCGGGUGGAAGCCCAGUCCGGGGAAGGAGCCUUGUGGGAGUGUCACAGGACGAGCGUUCUUUUUCUGGGUGGGCUUAUCAUGAGACCCCUGAGGCAACACAGCAGGGUCCUGGGCCAUCAGAGCCAGAGUGUCUCUUUUCCCAGCACAACAGGCAUUGGCUAUAGCAAGGCCAGUGUUGGGUCAUUCUUUCUGGCGGCAGCUAGAUUUGGCGAUCUUGAGGAACGUUGGCUCCCUGAGUUCCAGAUGCUGGUAUCCCACCUGAAGCAUGGUGUAACAUUUCGGUUGAGUGCAGAGUUUUAAAAAUUUUUAAUUUUUUUAAAGUUUUAUUUUAUGUUCAGGGGUUCCAUGUGCAGGUUUGUUAUAUAGGUAAAUUGUGGGUUUUGGGGGUUUGGCGUACAAAUGAUUUUGUCAUACAGAUACUAUGCUCUCACCCACCAUAGUUUUUUGAUCUCUCCCUCCUUCCAUCCUCCACCCUCCAGGAGGCCCCAGAGUCUGUUGCUCCCUUCUUUCUAUACAUGUGUCCUCAAAGUUUAGCUCCCACUGAUAAGUGAGAACAUGUGGGAUUUGAUUUUCUGUUCCUGUGUUAGUUUGCUUAGGAUAAUGGCUUCCAGCCCCAUCCAUGUGGCUGCAAAGGACAUGAUCUUGUUCUUUUUAACAGCUGCAUAGUAUUCCAUGAUGUACAUGGGCCUCAUUUUCUUUGUCCAGUCUGUGGUGGAUAGGCACUUAGGUUGAUGCCAUGCCUUGUUAUUGUGAAUA
Pan troglodytes (chimpanzee) is the source of this 2520-nucleotide long non-coding RNA. RefSeq lists it as uncharacterized. The record is from RefSeq and is a predicted model, not a curated record. Lineage: Eukaryota; Metazoa; Chordata; Mammalia; Primates; Hominidae. The transcript is spliced from 4 exons.